GAUGAACGCUGGCGGCGUGCCUAAUACAUGCAAGUCGAGCGAACGGACGAGAAGCUUGCUUCUCUGAUGUUAGCGGCGGACGGGUGAGUAACACGUGUAUAACCUACCUAUAAGACUGGUAUAAUUUCGGGAAACCGGAUCUUAUACCGGAUGAUAUCUUGAACCUCAUGGUUCAAAAGUUAAAUACGGUCUUUCUGGCAGUUAUAGAUGGAUCCGCGCUGGAUUAGCUAGUUGGUAAGGUAACGGCUUACCAAGGCAACGAUGCAUAGACGACCUGAGAGGGUGAUCGGCCACCCUGGAACUGAGACACGGUCCCGACUCCUACGGGAGGCAGCAGUACGGAAUCUUCCGCAAAGGGCGAGAGCCUGACGGAGCAAAGCCGCGUGAGUGAUGAAGGUGUUCGGAUCGUAAAACUCUGUUAUUAGGGAAGAACAUAUGUGUAAGUAACUGUGCACAUCUUGACGGUACCUAAUCAGAAAGCCACGGCUAACUACGUG
This 497-nucleotide ribosomal RNA is filed under the name uncultured bacterium. Its description in RNAcentral is "partial 16S ribosomal RNA". It matches the Rfam family "Bacterial small subunit ribosomal RNA", at positions 28 to 507 of the family's 1533-position model. The record is from RNAcentral.